GUCCACGCCGUAAACGAUGGACACUAGGCGUCGGGGGGAGCGACCCUCCCGGUGCCGUCGCUAACGCAGUAAGUGUCUCGCCUGGGGAGUACGGCCGCAAGGCUGAAACUCAAAGGAAUUGACUGGGGCCCCGCACAAGCGGUGGAGCAUGUGGUUUAAUUCGAAGCAACGCGAAGAACCUUACCUGGGCUUGACAUGCACGGGAAAGCCGGUGUAAACAUCGGUUCCUCUUCGGAGUCCGUGCACAGGUGCUGCAUGGCUGUCGU
This 266-nucleotide ribosomal RNA is filed under the name uncultured bacterium. Its description in RNAcentral is "partial 16S ribosomal RNA". It matches the Rfam family "Bacterial small subunit ribosomal RNA", at positions 793 to 1055 of the family's 1533-position model. The record is from RNAcentral.